RNAcentral lists this ribosomal RNA (494 nucleotides) under uncultured bacterium. RNAcentral's name for it is "partial 16S ribosomal RNA". It matches the Rfam family "Bacterial small subunit ribosomal RNA", at positions 28 to 507 of the family's 1533-position model. The record is from RNAcentral.
GACGAACGCUGGCGGCGUGCUUAACACAUGCAAGUCGAACGGUGAAGCGCCUUCCUUUUUGGUGGGUGUGGAUGAGUGGCGAACGGGUGAGUAACACGUGAGUAACCUGCCCCCUUCUUCUGGAUAACCGCAUGAAAGUGUGGCUAAUACGGGAUAUUCUGGGUCUGUCGCAUGAUGGGUCUGGGAAAGAUAUUGUUUCGGUGGGGGAUGGGCUCGCGGCCUAUCAGCUUGUUGGCGGGGUGAUGGCCUACCAAGGCGGUGACGGGUAGCCGGCCUGAGAGGGUGGACGGUCACACUGGGACUGAGACACGGCCCAGACUCCUACGAGAGGCAGCAGUGGGGAAUAUUGCACAAUGGGCGCAAGCCUGAUGCAGCGACGCCGCGUGAGGGAUGGAGGCCUUCGGGUUGUGAACCUCUUUCGCCAGUGAAGCAGGCCUGCCUCGUUUGUGGGUGGGUUGACGGUAGCUGGAUAAGAAGCGCCGGCUAACUACGUG